RNAcentral lists this long non-coding RNA (284 nucleotides) under Cavia porcellus (domestic guinea pig). RNAcentral describes it as "lncRNA (ENSCPOG00000036324.1)". Lineage: Eukaryota; Metazoa; Chordata; Mammalia; Rodentia; Caviidae. The record is from RNAcentral.
GCCAGAGACAGCUUCUCAUCUCACAAGGCAAUAAAGACCACAGAGUCCAAUAAAAUUAGCGUUGCUUAUCAGCUGUUCUUCCACCAACUGUCUUCUGGAUCCCUUUUUCCCCAGCUGCAUCUGGACUGCCAUCUGGGUGUAACUUCUGAGCCUUUACAUUCAGCCUUGCGACAUUCAACAUCUUUAAGGAGCGACACAUGGUAUUCAUCUUCUGCCUCACUGGAGUGCGAGGGAUGCCUCCUGCCAAAAUGACAGCAAGGAUGAAAUGUCAACUAACUGUCUCU